RNAcentral lists this ribosomal RNA (400 nucleotides) under phytoplankton environmental sample. Its description in RNAcentral is "partial small subunit ribosomal RNA". It matches the Rfam family "Eukaryotic small subunit ribosomal RNA", at positions 587 to 994 of the family's 1831-position model. The record is from RNAcentral.
AGCUCCAAUAGCGUAUAUUAAAGUUGUUGCAGUUAAAAAGCUCGUAGUUGGAUUUCGGGGUGGCCUGGCUGGUCCACCGCAAGGUGAGUACUGGUCAGCCGCCCUUCCUCUCGAAAGCCCCGACUGCUCUUCACUGCAGUGGUCGGGUAGUUCGGGACGUUUACUUUGAAAAAAUUAGAGUGUUCAAGGCAGGCUAUCGCCUGAAUACAUUAGCAUGGAAUAAUGGAAGAGGACCUCGGUCCUAUUUUGUUGGUUUCUAGGGCCGAAGUAAUGAUUAAGAGGGACAGUUGGGGGCAUUCGUAUUUAAUUGUCAGAGGUGAAAUUCUUGGAUUUAUGAAAGACGAACUAGUGCGAAAGCAUUUGCCAAGGAUGUUUUCAUUAAUCAAGAACGAAAGUACGC